UCGAGAAUCUUCGGCAAUGGGCGCAAGCCUGACCGAGCGACGCCGCGUGCGGGAUGAAGGCCUUCGGGUUGUAAACCGCUGUCGGAGGGGAGGAAAUGCGCGGGGGUUCUCCCUCGCGUUUGACCUAGCCUCAGAGGAAGGACGGGCUAAGUUCGUGCCAGCAGCCGCGGUAAGACGAACCGUCCAAACGUUACUCGGAAUUACUGGGCUUAAAGGGUGCGUAGGCGGCUCAGAAAGUUGGGUGUGAAAGCCCUCGGCUUAACCGAGGAGGGUCGCCCAAAACUACUGAGCUUGAGGAAGACAGAGGUGCGCGGAACUUGCGGUGGAGCGGUGAAAUGCGUUGAUAUCGCAAGGAACACCAGGGGCGAAAGCGACGCACUGGGUCUUUUCUGACGCUGAGGCACGAAAGCUAGGGGAGCGAAGAG
Molecule: ribosomal RNA, 425 nt
Filed under: uncultured bacterium
Lineage: Bacteria
Description: bacterial SSU rRNA
Rfam family: Bacterial small subunit ribosomal RNA
Source: RNAcentral